AGUGGCGCACGGGUGCGUAACGCGUAUGCAACCUACCUUAUUCAGGGGGAUAGCCCGAAGAAAUUCGGAUUAACACCGCAUAAAAUCACAGCUCAGCAUUGAGUAAUGAUCAAAUAUUUAUAGGAAUAAGAUGGGCAUGCGUGUCAUUAGCUAGUUGGCGGGGUAACGGCCCACCAAGGCGACGAUGACUAGGGGAUCUGAGAGGAUGACCCCCCACACUGGUACUGAGACACGGACCAGACUCC
This 245-nucleotide ribosomal RNA is filed under the name uncultured bacterium. Its description in RNAcentral is "partial 16S ribosomal RNA". It matches the Rfam family "Bacterial small subunit ribosomal RNA", at positions 94 to 339 of the family's 1533-position model. The record is from RNAcentral.